RNAcentral lists this ribosomal RNA (515 nucleotides) under uncultured bacterium. RNAcentral describes it as "partial 16S ribosomal RNA". It matches the Rfam family "Bacterial small subunit ribosomal RNA", at positions 28 to 523 of the family's 1533-position model. The record is from RNAcentral.
GAUGAACGCUGGCGGCGUGCCUAAUACAUGCAAGUCGAGCGAAUGGAUUGAGAGCUUGCUCUUAUGAAGUUAGCGGCGGACGGGUGAGUAACACGUGGGUAACCUGCCCAUAAGACUGGGAUAACUCCGGGAAACCGGGGCUAAUACCGGAUAACAUUUUGAACCGCAUGGUUCGAAAUUGAAAGGCGGCUUCGGCUGUCACUGAUGGAUGGACCUGCGUCGCAUUAGCUAAUUGGUGAGGUAACGGCUCACCAAGGCAACGAUACGUAGCCGACCUGUGAGGGUGACCGGCCACACUGAUGCUGAGAAACGGCCCAGACGCCUACGGGAGGAAGCAGUAGGGAAUCUUGCGCAAUGGACGAAAGUCUGACGGAGCAACGCCGCGUGAUUGAUGAAGGCUUUCGGGUCGUAAAACUCUGUUGUUAGGGAAGAACAAGUGCUAGUUGAAUAAGCUGGCACCUUGACGGUACCUAACCAGAAAGCCACGGCUAACUACGUGCCAGCCGCCGCAGUAA